GAUUGGAAAAGUUGAUAUGCGCUACCGGUGGUCAAAAUUUGCAACUAAAUAAACAGGACGGAAAGAACCAGCGCCACCUUGUUGUGAGAACACACACGUCAAGCUGUCAAAACGUCAAAACAUCCGACAUCUUGAUUUUGUUGGGUAAGCACUUUCCCUCGCAUUUCAUUUCAUUUCAUCGUUCUCAUCGUUCAUAAAAGGAUAAUUUUGUGGACUUACAUUAAACUUGCAAAAAAUAAACAAUAUUAAAAGCGUGAAAAAGAAAAAAAGAUAUUUAAAAAAUUAAUAAUAUACAUAUGUACAUAAAAAGUAAAAAAAAAAAGUCAUACAAUUCAAAGUGUGGUUUUUGAAUGCCGACGUUGUCGCAUUGUCCAGUGGAUGCAAUCCAUUAAGCAAUAAGCAAUAUCAAUCAAAAGCAUUGAUUAUUUAAAAUAAAAAUAAAUACAAACUGCUACUGCGGUGGACUAUUGUGAAGGAUUACACACAUAUAUAAAAUAACAUUAAACUUUAUACCCAAACUAAGACUGAGCCUCCGAAGGAAAUUUUGAAUACAGUAUAUAGUCAUAAAUCCUCAUCUCAUUGGCAUCCUUGAGCACCAGCAACAGCAGCAGGCGAAUAAAGAUUGGGCCAUGACUACACAGUGUUGUUCCAAUUUUACAUUUUCAUCCCUCUUGCCAACAAC
Molecule: long non-coding RNA, 682 nt
Organism: Episyrphus balteatus (marmalade hoverfly)
Lineage: Eukaryota; Metazoa; Arthropoda; Insecta; Diptera; Syrphidae
Exons: 3
Source: RefSeq, a predicted model, not a curated record